This 467-nucleotide ribosomal RNA is filed under the name uncultured bacterium. RNAcentral's name for it is "partial 16S ribosomal RNA". It matches the Rfam family "Bacterial small subunit ribosomal RNA", at positions 28 to 507 of the family's 1533-position model. The record is from RNAcentral.
GACGAACGCUGGCGGCGUGCUUAACACAUGCAGUCGAACGGAAAGGCCCUGCUUUUGUGGGGUGCUCGAGUGGCGAACGGGUGAGUAACACGUGAGUAACCUGCCCUUGACUUUGGGAUAACUUCAGGAAACUGGGGCUAAUGCCGGAUAGGAGCUCCUGCUGCAUGGUGGGGGUUGGAAAGUUUCGGCGGUUGGGGAUGGACUCGCGGCUUAUCAGCUUGUUGGUGGGGUAGUGGCUUACCAAGGCUUUGACGGGUAGCCGGCCUGAGAGGGUGACCGGCCACAUUGGGACUGAGAUACGGCCCAGACUCCUACGGGAGGCAGCAGUGGGGAAUAUUGCACAAUGGGCGGAAGCCUGAUGCAGCAACGCCGCGUGCGGGAUGACGGCCUUCGGGUUGUAAACCGCUUCCGCCUGUGACGAAGCGUGAGUGACGGUAAUGGGUAAAGAAGCACCGGCUAACUACGUG